AGACAACUACAACUAAAAUCGACAUGUUUAUUUAUGCUUUGAUCAUCUUUUUUCUAACAUUUCUUGUUGAAUCCUUUGCUUAUAAGAAAACUAAUAUCCCCUGCAAAUAUAUAGGGGAUUGUCCACCAUCAGGAAACCGUUAUGCUUGGUUAUGCAAAGAAAAUUUUUGUAUUAGACUUGAACGAGGAGAGUACGUGGACAUAGAAGGAUAAAUAAGGAAGGUUUUUAUUAGUUUGUAAUCUAUAUAUAUAAUAUGGGGUUUGCUAAUUUAGACUCACCUAAAAAUAUGAGAAGGUCUAAAUUAGCAAGGUGUACUUUUUUAUUUGGACAAAAAUACCCGUAACAAAAUAUAUUCCAAAAAAAAAUUUAUAAAAAAAUGUCAUUUAUUUUUCAACUAUUUUCAACUUUGUAUUUUAUUCUUAUUUUUUUUUAAUUAAAGGUAUCAUCCGCGUGUAAUUGCAUAGACUAAUCCCCUCGAGAUGACUGAGAAUUCUUAUUGUUUUAGUCUAACCAUUUUUUUAUGGGAGUUUUUCAA
Trifolium pratense (red clover) is the source of this 535-nucleotide long non-coding RNA. RefSeq lists it as uncharacterized. Lineage: Eukaryota; Viridiplantae; Streptophyta; Magnoliopsida; Fabales; Fabaceae. The transcript is spliced from 3 exons. The record is from RefSeq and is a predicted model, not a curated record.